GAUGAACGCUGGCGGCGUGCCUAAUACAUGCAAGUCGAGCGAACGGACGAGAAGCUUGCUUCUCUGAUGUUAGCGGCGGACGGGUGAGUAACACGUGGAUAACCUACCUAUAAGACUGGGAUAACUUCGGGAAACCGGAGCUAAUACCGGAUGAUAUUUUGAACCGCAUGGUUCAAAAGUGAAAGACGGUCUUGCUGUCACUUAUAGAUGGAUCCGCGCUGCAUUAGCUAGUUGGUAAGGUAACGGCUUACCAAGGCAACGAUGCAUAGCCGACCUGAGAGGGUGAUCGGCCACACUGGAACUGAGACACGGUCCAGACUCCUAUGGGAGGCAGCAGUAGGGAAUCUUCCGCAAUGGGCGAAAGCCUGACGGAGCAACGCCGCGUGAGUGAUGAAGGUCUUCGGAUCGUAAAACUCUGUUAUUAGGGAAGAACAUAUGUGUAAGUAACUGUGCACAUCUUGACGGUACCUAAUCAGAAAGCCACGGCUAACUACGUG
Molecule: ribosomal RNA, 497 nt
Filed under: uncultured bacterium
Lineage: Bacteria
Description: partial 16S ribosomal RNA
Rfam family: Bacterial small subunit ribosomal RNA
Source: RNAcentral